RNAcentral lists this small RNA (26 nucleotides) under Bombyx mori (domestic silkworm). RNAcentral's name for it is "ovarian small RNA-26492". Lineage: Eukaryota; Metazoa; Arthropoda; Insecta; Lepidoptera; Bombycidae. The record is from RNAcentral.
UCCAACCACGAUGGGCAUCGACAGGC